RNAcentral lists this long non-coding RNA (366 nucleotides) under Brassica napus (rape). Its description in RNAcentral is "long non-coding RNA (BNAP_LNC013447)". Lineage: Eukaryota; Viridiplantae; Streptophyta; Magnoliopsida; Brassicales; Brassicaceae. The record is from RNAcentral.
UUACGUUGACCGUGCUUCCCGUGUCGACGAGUACCCUUCUGACUUCUAAGUCUCGUAUGAUGAGAUCUAUGACGAGCGGAUCACAGUGAGGUUGAUCGAUGCCGCCGGCUUCCUCCUUUGUGAAGGUGAUCGAGCAAUUUUGGCCAUCUCGGGGAGGAGACCAUGUAGGCCAAUUUACACUCGACUCUGCCUUCCUAUGGUAAGCCUUGAUGGCCGACACAGUAUCACCGCAGUAUUGUGAUCCUCCGAUGAUCAUGUUGACUCUGCGACGAUUGUUAUCAUUCCCCUUGUCGUCCGGCCUCCUACCGCGUUUAUCCCCAUGCUGGUUUCGUUGAGGGGAUUUUUCAGCGGACGGAUUUCUGUCCG